GAUGAACGCUAGCUACAGGCUUAACACAUGCAAGUCAGGGGCAGCAUGAACAUAGCUUGCUAUGUUUGAUGGCGACCGGCGCACGGGUGAGUAACGCGUGGGUAACCUGCCGUAUACAGGGGGACAACAGUUGGAAACGACUGCUAAUACCGCAUAAGCGCACAGGACCGCAUGGUCUGGUGUGAAAAACUCCGGUGGUAUACGAUGGACCCGCGUCUGAUUAGCUAGUUGGUGAGGUAACGGCCCACCAAGGCGACGAUCAGUAGCCGGCCUGAGAGGGUGAACGGCCACAUUGGGACUGAGACACGGCCCAAACUCCUACGGGAGGCAGCAGUGGGGAAUAUUGGACAAUGGGGGAAACCCUGAUCCAGCGACGCCGCGUGAGUGAAGAAGUAUUUCGGUAUGUAAAGCUCUAUCAGCAGGGAAGAAAAUGACGGUACCUGACUAAGAAGCUCCGGCUAAAUACGUG
RNAcentral lists this ribosomal RNA (469 nucleotides) under uncultured bacterium. RNAcentral describes it as "bacterial SSU rRNA". It matches the Rfam family "Bacterial small subunit ribosomal RNA", at positions 28 to 507 of the family's 1533-position model. The record is from RNAcentral.